Stegodyphus mimosarum is the source of this 73-nucleotide non-coding RNA. Lineage: Eukaryota; Metazoa; Arthropoda; Arachnida; Araneae; Eresidae. The record is from Rfam.
GCCUUCGUGGUGUAAUGGUCAGCACACUCGGCGCGUAUUCGAAAGUUCCGAGGUUCAAGUCCCUGUGAGGGCA